GAUCCUGGCUCAGGAUGAACGCUAGCUACAGGCUUAACACAUGCAAGUCGAGGGGCAGCAUUUUAGCUUGCUUGCAAACUGAAGAUGGCGACCGGCGCACGGGGUGAGUAACACGUAUCAACCUGCCGAUAACUCCGGGAUAGCCUUUCGAAAGAAAGAUUAAUACCGGAUAGCAUACGAAUAUCGCAUGAUAUUUUUAUUAAAGAAUUUCGGUUAUCGAUGGGGAUGCGUUCCAUUUAG
This 240-nucleotide ribosomal RNA is filed under the name uncultured bacterium. RNAcentral describes it as "partial 16S ribosomal RNA". It matches the Rfam family "Bacterial small subunit ribosomal RNA", at positions 15 to 245 of the family's 1533-position model. The record is from RNAcentral.